CUUAAUACUAAUAGUUAGGAUUGAUUAUAAGAAUUCUUUUUCGUUAUUUAGUUGUUGGGCACUAAAUCUGCCUCAAUAUAAAAAAAAUCGAAGAAAUAAACACUUAAAAUUGUACCACGAAUGCACAGAACUCGUCGUAUAACACUGAAAACUGCAAGGACUAACCAGCAAAGAAUAGCCUACAUAUAUGUUAACACUUCACCUGGGAUGCUGCCUCCGUCAGUAUUGCAUGCAGAUUCCUGGUCUCAGCCAGAACACUUUCCUUGUCAAAUAGAGCUGAAACAACUGCAACGCCUUCCAGAUUUGACACUCCAGUUUCCAUCACACAGCCUGCAUUUGAAGCAUUGAUGCCACCAAUUGCAACCACUGGUAACUUAGAUGCUAUACAAACAGCUUUUAACCCAUCCAAACCAAGGGUUGGAUUGUUUGCUUUUGUAUUUGUUGGAUAUACACCACCACAACCUAUGUAAUCAGCACCAUCAAUCCAUGCUUGCUGGGCUUGCUCAGGUGUUUUGCAUGAUACACCAAUUAUCUUUUCAGGGCCAAGAAGAGCGCGGGCAAUACGAACAGGCAUGUCAGACUGACCAACAUGUACGCCAUCAGCAUCACAUGCAAGCGCUACAUCAACUCGGUCAUCUAUCAAUAGAGGAACUCCAUGGGAACGGCAAAUUUCAAGACAUGCUUUUGCCAUGUCCAAGAACUCCCUUGUUUCAGCAUCCUUCUCCCUAAGAAGCAAAUUCUCAGUAUUAACAGAAGCAUGCUGGCAGAUAUAUCAUUUUGCAUGGGCAGUUACUACUUGCACAGGUUGGACUAAGAAAGCAAAGCUAUAUUUAUAAAAACAUCAACCUGUUUCAAGGCAAUAAAACAGAGUGCGCAAAUAAAACAUGUUUGUACUCAAUGGUGAUAGAGAAUCAUAUUUAUAGAAAAAUGGUCAAGACACCUCAAAGCUCAAAUCCUAGAACCACUAUAAUUUUUCUCUUAGAUCAUGGAAAAUAAUGAAAAAGCAAAUCUAAAGCAAAUUAUAAGGGGCAUUAAAUUGAAAAAAUUAAAAGGUUACCACAUCAUGCAUCAGUUGGAAAUUUGAAGAACAUAACUGAAAUGCUAGGAAAAUUAUUUCAGUUUUCUUCCUGUAAGAUAUAUUUUAACUAACGGAAAAAAAUUCCAGCCUUCUGAAUGUGAAGCAAGCUAUAAGCAGUCAAACCUCAAUUGAACAAUGGUAGCACCUCCUUCUAUUGCUGCUUUAAUGGCAUCCACCAUAGAUCGUCCCCACUUUUUAUUCAUCUGAGAGUCUGUAACAGCAUAUAAAAAUAGGUCACUUGGAUUGAAUGUCUGUUGUCGACCAGAGCAAAUACUAUUCGUAAGCCUUAAUAGGUGAUCAAAGGGGCCUUGCCGCCCAUUUCCAAUGAAAAUGUCUUUGCUGUACUCCAAGGCAGUCUCAACAUAGCGCUUAGCUACCUGCCCAAACUCAGACACAUAAGAACUACAAUGCUCAUACACCCUUUAGAAGGAAGGAAAAGAGAAACAAUAACGAUCACGAGUGAGAAGGAAAGAGAAGGAAAAAGGACGUGGAGGUCACAUAGAUAUUAAAGCACAUCAGCACAUCAAGGUCAACAUAGAAGAACUAGAGCAUGUUUCUCAACGAUUAAUUCCAUAAAGCCCAUAAACCAUCAAUCAGAUUACUCUUAAAAGUCAAAACUUGGCACACAAAAUCAAAGACUUUAAUAAUCUAAUUAUGUAAUUAUUGAGUCCGUUCUUGACUUUAUUUUGACUUUACAAACCAAAUUCUGCAAAAGCUUUUGUUGCUAUAGUCCUGAAUUAUGAACCAGAUGAAGAUAGCUGGGAGUGGGAACUGAAAACAGUAGCACUAUAAUAUAGUUACCUUAACAGCUGAAAGCAUUGAAGAACCUUUAGCCAGCUCAGCUGCUAUACAUGAUGCUAAUGUGCAACCAGUACCAUGGGUGUUGCGAGUUUUUAUGCGAGGUGAGCGCAACUCAUGGUAGUCUUUGCCAUCAAAGAAAAUAUCAACAGCAUCCAAAGAGUCAGGGAGGUCACCACCUUUGACGAGUAUAUUCCUGGAAGGCAAAAUCAAUAAAGUUCAAGUACACAAUUUUUUUCCCUUCAGUUUCAAGUUGAUGAUGAUGAUGCAUCCAUUCUAUCAAAUAGAUUUGCUAAAAGAAGCUGAAAAACAGUGCACGCACAAAGUACUUCGUAUACAUUAAAAAAGAAGCAAGAAAUGAAGCCACAGAGUUUAAUUUCUCAUGGCAGAACUUUUUCCCCCACAUUGAUAAUCACUAAUGCGAAAAAAAGGGGAUUUAAACAACCUAAACAUGCAAAUGAUAAAAGAGAAGCUCAAUAAUCCAUGAAAACAAUGUUAAAACUUCAGCAGCCAGCUCAAGCAGCAUCUGCUAAUCUCAGUCUAAUGUCCUUUUAGUCCUAAGUCCUAAACAGCACAUUUAUGUCUGAUAGUUAAUGAAUGCAAAAAAUGUCAAAUUAUUCCAUUCACAGAACUCGUAUUAACUUACCUUUACCCCAAACAUUCAGUGCUGGAAUAAAGGCUAUGUUGUGCUAUGACCCAAUUGCAGUGUCACGGUAUCAUGGCGUCACAGUCAAAGAGGAAAAGUAGAGGCCAGUGUUAUAAUAAAUCUUUUACAGAUUAGCUCGGAAAAAGGGGGUGAUAUAUGGUUUAGUGGCUGUUACUGCAAGUGUGAUCGCCAUAACAGGCCAUAAGACCGGUAAUUCCCAACUAUCUGUUGUGAAAAAUCUGGUAAAUUAAUCUUCCUAUGUUGUGACACAGGAAAACUUUCAUAUUUUAUAAUUCCUAUCCAUUACAUUUCCACAGGUAGUACUUUCAUCAAACUUUCAAGUUGAAAAUUACUGUACUUUAUAUCAGUAACAAUUAUAUGAAUUUUUCUCCUAAUUUGAUAUGUAUUUUUUAGUCACAUAACACUCCAAAACACUUAUCCGAUUUAAAUAUUUUUGUCUGUUGUUGAAAUAUAAAACCAAAAAAUCAAAAGCUGCCUCAUUGUUUAAAGUUAUGUCUCAGCUUAAAGCAAGUAAAAUGACCAAAUCUUAUGCUUUCAAAGAAGAAAAAGAUGUGAUUUGAACAAGAUUGAUAUUUGCAACUUCCAUAAGUAGCACAAAUCCUACAGAGAAGGUAAUUAUGAAGUUAAGAACACUUCUGAAAGCAAAGAAAUAGCAAGUGCAUAAUAAUUUCACAACAACAGCUCAUUACAAGUGACCAAAGAAUUUAAAGUAAUUUCUACUAACCGGGGACCUAUAGCAUGCAAAAGUUUUGCAGCAGAGCACAUGUCAGCAACUGUUUCAAGUGGCAUCCCACCAAGUAAAGCAGAUGCCUCUUUUAUAUUUGGAGUUACUAUGUCAGCCAUGGGAAGGAGCUCCUCU
Molecule: unclassified non-coding RNA, 3402 nt
Filed under: Hevea brasiliensis (rubber tree)
Lineage: Eukaryota; Viridiplantae; Streptophyta; Magnoliopsida; Malpighiales; Euphorbiaceae
Source: RNAcentral